CAAUCUCGAAAGGUAUCUACGGGUACCUUUCAAGAUUUAAAAUUUCUUUUUUCCAGCGGGGUGUGAGCGAUGGGUAUGCUUUUGCACUUCAACGAUGCCGAGAGGGAGCUGAACGCCAAGCUGAAGCCUCACCUCCACUCGAUCCAUGCGUCGCUUAAGCUGGACCAGGACAUCACCGACGCCAACGUCGCCAUCUUAAAGACAAUAUUGGACGACAUCUACGAGCAGAUCAAGCGGAACGAUCCCCUCUUCAAAAAGAUUUGUAGGAGGCUCGUGUACACUGGAAGUUACUACAUCCGGCUACGGACCAAGAAAGCAGACGAAUUCGACAUCAAUCUUGUCCUGGAUUUACCUUUUCGGAAAGGUGAAUUUACCAUUUUGGACGAACGUCCCGGCUAUGUCGGCUACAAAGUCAGCCUAGCGGCCGUCAACAGGCUUCUCCAAGAAGGAGAAAAGGAGUGGGUCCAUCCCUUGCUCAAGUUGAUCAACGGCGAGAAUAGGCUUAUGCCCGAGAGGGUCAAGAGGAGCCUGCAGUCUGCCUUCGACCGGGUUCUCCAAACCUAUGUCAUCCCUUCUGGACUUCGCUCAUCCGUGGCUAGGAUUCGGCCAAGUCAGAGUGGACCUGCCAAGACAUUCCGUAUCAUUCUUAAAGAUGGCCAGUGGAUUGAUGUAGAUCUUGUGCCUGUGAUAGAAUUUUGUUACCCCAACUGGCCCAGUGGCAUUGAGAAGAAAGACUGGAUGGAUAAGAUUUCUCCCUUGGAUCAGAACUGGUUCCUGGUUCCAAAAUCACCUAUGUCCAAUCCCUCUAUGCCCGACGGCUCCCACUUGUGGCGGCUAGACUUCCAAAAUAUGGAAAACAGGCUGAUUCAAGACUAUGGUUGCGUCAAGCCCAUCAUUCGUUUGCUCAAGACUACGAGGGAUUCUUACACGUGGAACCUCUCCUCGUAUUCCUUGAAGACGUUUGUCAUGCAUCAGCUCUUGGCAAAGUAUGACCGGGGAUACUGGGACCCCAAAAACCAGGGGAUCCUUUUUAUCACGACUCUACAGUUUUGGGCUGGCUUGGGUAGAUCCCGCGAGGCUGCCGGGGGCGGCCGAGGCGACGCAUCAGGUGCGAGAAUUUGUGCGGGAUCAUCUGAUAGUGGCUGAGCACCUGCUGCCAGUGCGGACUGAUUACGAUAGUGGUGUGGAGGAUGACUAUGUGGACAGCGAAUAACAGCUGAUACUUCGUGUCACCUCCUCAUCGCUUUCGAUAUGUCAUCUGUCGGUCCAGGCUGGAGAGGAUCCCCCACAAAGCUGCACCUGCCAAAAGAGUGCUCCCGGAAGCAAGCGAUCUUCAUAUCCUCAUCGCACGCCCUGACUUUGUAAAUAGUUUUUAGACUGUGUACCGCAUUGCUCGCGAGAUGUCAUUUCCCAAACUUUUUGCCGUCGGUGUGUCUUGAAACAUCUUGUAUUGCUGUACAUUUUUUUUCUAUAAUCCGAUAGUGUACCCAUAUCGAGCGAUCUCUCUCCUCGUCGAAGAUCCUAACCUCGUAAAUAUUUUUGGACUGGCUCGCGCGCGUUGUUCGUGAGAUGUCAUUUCAC
RNAcentral lists this unclassified non-coding RNA (1581 nucleotides) under Ixodes scapularis (black-legged tick). RNAcentral's name for it is "cyclic GMP-AMP synthase, transcript variant X1". Lineage: Eukaryota; Metazoa; Arthropoda; Arachnida; Ixodida; Ixodidae. The record is from RNAcentral.